This 73-nucleotide transfer RNA is filed under the name Camelus bactrianus (Bactrian camel). It matches the Rfam family "tRNA". Rfam says of the family: Transfer RNA (tRNA) molecules are approximately 80 nucleotides in length. Their secondary structure includes four short double-helical elements and three loops (D, anti-codon, and T loops). Lineage: Eukaryota; Metazoa; Chordata; Mammalia; Artiodactyla; Camelidae. The record is from Rfam by way of RNAcentral. RNAcentral also lists the same sequence under 2 other names.
GGGUAUAUAGCUCAGGUGGUAGAGCGUAUGCUUAGUAUGCACAAGGUCCUGGGUUCAAUCCCCAGUACCUCCU